Molecule: ribosomal RNA, 253 nt
Filed under: uncultured bacterium
Lineage: Bacteria
Description: partial 16S ribosomal RNA
Rfam family: Bacterial small subunit ribosomal RNA
Source: RNAcentral
UACGAAGGGCGCUAGCGUUGUUCGGAAUCGCUGGGCGUAAAGCGCACGUAGGCGGAUUUGUCAGUCAGGGGUGAAAUCCCGGGGCUCAACCUCGGAACUGCCUUUGAUACAGCAAGUCUUGAGUUCGAGAGAGGUGGGUGGAAUUCCUAGUGUAGAGGCGAAAUUCGUAGAUAUUAGGAAGAACACCGGUGGCGAAGGCGGCCCACUGGCUCGAUACUGACGCUGAGGUGCGAAAGCGUGGGGAGCAAACGGG